AGAUGUGCCUACUAAACCAGAGGACAUUUGUGUGCGUGAUUUCUUAUUUAAGAAAAGACUUCUGACUACUGCUGCUAGCAGGGAACAACUUUUAUCAGAUUCUUGUGCCUGACCAAUUUGAAAAUUCCAGGUGGCUCGGCUUAACUAUAGCUAUCCUGGUGGUUUGAAAUCUUACAUUAAAACUGCUAGAGAACUUUUAGGGGACUCAAAAUGGGAAGAAUCCAUUUGAUGGCUUCACUCCUUCUGUUCCAACAGGAGAAUCUUUAAUUUUUGGUGAUGGUACCUUUAUCAAUUAUGAGCAGGCAGGAGUUAAGGAAGCUAAGAAUGCUGCCCUUGUUCUUGUUGCAGUGGUCUUGGGGAAUGCCUUGGAUGCAAUGGAAUUAAG
Mangifera indica (mango) is the source of this 385-nucleotide long non-coding RNA. RefSeq lists it as uncharacterized. The record is from RefSeq and is a predicted model, not a curated record. NCBI's taxonomy places the organism in Eukaryota, Viridiplantae, Streptophyta, Magnoliopsida, Sapindales, Anacardiaceae. The transcript has 3 exons.